Molecule: long non-coding RNA, 1035 nt
Filed under: Cottoperca gobio
Lineage: Eukaryota; Metazoa; Chordata; Actinopteri; Perciformes; Bovichtidae
Description: lncRNA (ENSCGOG00000012567.1)
Source: RNAcentral
CAAAGGUAGGAUCAACAUGACACCAUGUUGAAUGUACAAAGCAUGUUACUUAAACUCCACACACUGCAGUUUGCAUCCUUUGUUCUACCAAAAGAGAAUGUCGGUGUUUGUUCAACCCUAACCUUGACCCUUCCCUAACUUUUAAAGCUGCAUUCAUUUAUUUCUUUGACCACUUGGGGCAUUCGAACAAGCUGAAAACACAAUAUUAUCACGUUAUGUAGUUCUUACGGCUGUGAAAGAGUGCAACAAUGGAAUUUAUGCUUUAAUUAUUAGUGUGAUGAUAUUACACUCAUUAUAUAAUACCUACAGUAUUACUGACCUGUGAAAUGUAUGAUACUACGUGUAAUAUUAUUCACUUAUCAUGUAUUAUAUUUGAUAUUUUGGUUCAUAACAGUUUGUACUGUACAGUAUGUGUUUUUGUAUUUAACAUUAUGAAAUUAUAUAAAUGAAUGCGUACUUCCUUUGGGUAUAUGUAUGGCAACAUAUUUUUUAAAUAGAGAUUUAGUUCCCUGAUUAGCCUUUUUCUGACAGAAAUUAAAGUUCUCAUACGGAAGAGUAUCCAUAAUAUAUGAAAUGUUCAACAUGUAUUAUGCCGUAUGAUAUGACUUUCUGCUUUUUGUUGAGUCACGAGAGAGCAGAUCACACCACUGGUGUAAGCCAAUCGGCAGCCAAGAGAGAGCUCACGGGCGACUGGCAGCAAAACUCCAGCAAAGACCAGUGAGGAGUCGUCCAGCUGAUGCCGGUGCAGGGGCCCCGUUUCUCUGCCACCAACAGGCAACCGGGGAUGGAUGACCAGCGCAUUAUUUAUUUAAUUUUUUGUUCGGCGUGAGAGUAAGAAAACGGAGACAGACUUUCUUUGCAGUUUUGUUUCAUGCUGGGUAAUCGCAGAAAGAAAUAUUCACCCGCAUGCAUUAAUAUGCAAGGACUAAGUCCCCAGUUGGCUUAGAGUUAAUCUUAUAUUUCAACUCAUUCCUCAGCAUCUGUGCUAGGGAGGAGGGCAUCUUAUACUUUAGGUAAAUGCCCCCUCAGAAAGAU